Molecule: non-coding RNA, 566 nt
Organism: Cyprinodon tularosa
Lineage: Eukaryota; Metazoa; Chordata; Actinopteri; Cyprinodontiformes; Cyprinodontidae
Source: the annotation of a RefSeq genome assembly
GCUCUCCUUGUGCUCUGUGUUCCAGCAUUGUGUCAAUAAUAAGUGUUGCUGUGAAGAGAACAAUAGUCAGACUGAAUGUUGAACAUCAGCUAGUUUCUCCUGCUGAUUUAAACCUUGUUGGACAGAUGGAACAUUGGCUGUGGAUUAUUCUAGCUGCUCUUUUCUUUGAGUGUAAAGGAGACUCGGUGACGCAGACAGAAGGACAUGUUGCUGCUGCUCAAGGAGAAUCUGUGACUCUGGGAUGUAUUUAUCAGACCAGUACUACAACACCUACCCUGUUCUGGUAUAAACAAGAAGAAAACAGUUUCCCAAAGUACAUGCUGAAUCAAUACUAUCAAACAAAAGAUAAAGCUCCUGAUUUCAACUACAACCGAUUUGAUGCUGACAUCAACAAUGAGGGGAAAUCCUUUAAUUUGACGAUCCAGGAUCUCCGUCUGUCAGACUCUGCUGUGUACUACUGUGCUCUGAGGCCCACAGUGACAGGAAACACCAGAACUCUGUACAAGAACCUGCAGAGAAAUAAUGACAAUACUCCACAUCAUCGACCAGAGGGGCUUCGUACAUGA